Long non-coding RNA from Frankliniella occidentalis (western flower thrips), 1690 nucleotides. RefSeq lists it as uncharacterized. The record is from RefSeq and is a predicted model, not a curated record. The transcript has 5 exons. Lineage: Eukaryota; Metazoa; Arthropoda; Insecta; Thysanoptera; Thripidae.
CGGCGCGCUUCGGCCACAGGAGAUCCGUCGUACCGGGCGUGGCUACGCGGGCGACCAGGAUCACCACGUCGCGCGGCUCCACCAGCAACCGCCAGCGUCGCAGCCACCGUGGGACUUCCCCCACCAUAGCCGGAGGAGCGCCCCAGGACCCCGCGGCCAGGAUAUUCGCGAUCGCGAGCGCAGAGGACAAGACUGCGUUGUUGGGGCGCGUUGUACAGCCGGACACGGUUCGCCGCUGCGAGGCGCCCGGUCCAGGCUUUGGUAAUGAGGGGCUUUGUCGGCAAACGAGUAUUUCUACGGAUGUCCAGCUUCGUGGUUGUCCUGCUUUCUGCCGUGUGAGCUGGCUGUGUGCCGCCGUGCCCCGACGGUACGCUCGUCAGUCCCUUCAGGCGCUCAGGGCCGGCCCUUAGUGUGACGAGCGUCUCGUACCCGCCCUCCAGCGCUACCGCUGCUGCCUCGCACCUUCAGUGCAGGUGGGCGAGCCGGCUCGCUCACCAGGGGCGGCGGUUGGUACGUGGAGUCGGCGGUGGUGGCUGGCGUGUUCACGGGCAAAUAUCGCAUUUGGUGGACAAGUUUUUAAAAUGGACGCACGUUCGAGGCACGACGUCCCGCUGAAAUAGGAGUUUGUCAAUAACGCCUCUCCCUUGAAAGUUAUUUGGUUUGUUCUGUCGGCUCGUUGCUCAAACCCUCCCUUGUUCCAGGCAUAGUCUAAGUACUGCAGUAGAACUACAAGACGAGACGCGUCGAGGAUGGACGGCCUGCUCCAACAUUCAGCCUACUUUGUUUAUAUUCUACCUGUCUGUAAAAAGAUUGGAAUAAAGAUGUUUUUCGAACGAAAUAAAUGGGGAAAGGGUUGGGGUUUCUCCUGCAGCCCGUCGCUGCGGACGUCGUUCAGAGAAGACCCGCCGCCGCUGCGCCCUUCCCGUCGCCACCACCGUGGGACUUGCCCGCACCGCAGGACUCUUCGGCCAGGACACUCGCCGGGCGCCGAGGACAACUGCGUCGUCGGGAUGCUACACGCCCCUUCGCGCCCCGCCCCUGCUCCGCGCCCCGCCCCGCCGCGCUCUCGGCCGCGGGUUUGGGGGCGCCCUGUGACAACUGUCCGCCGGUACCCUUCGGAGUAGGCCCUGUCGCGUACAGAGCGAGGGCUGCUGUCGAAGGUUGCUCCUCCGCGCUGACCAUCUCCGGGGCGAAAGCGUUGGGCUCCCGACCAUCCUCUGCGGCAGAGGCAGAGCGGGGCGGAGGCUGCGCUUGCCGGGGGCUGGCGCGGGGCUCGGCGGACCACCCCGGGCACUCCUGCAGGACCUGCGGAGGAGCGCCAGGUCGCAGAGGACACCGCUACCACCUCAACGGCCGUCACCAGCGUCGCCACCACCCCCCCCCCCUCUCUCUGAACGUUACUUGCUUUGUGUUGGCUCGUUGCUCAAAAUAUUUCUUGUUCCAGCCAGGCAUCAGACGCUGUUCCCGGCCACCUCCAUGGGACUUCCCCGCCGACGCAGGACGCAGGUCGCGGCCGGCGAUAGUGUUUCUUUGUUUGCAUUCUGUUGGGUGGUUGUGGUGCUUGGCUUGUAUGUGUUUGUGGUUGUAGGGUGGUUUAUGGUAGGGUAGUUUUUGUGUUUAUGUGUUGUGUGUUUAUGUUGGUUUGUGUGUUGUGGUAUGGGUUGUGUCCUGUCUUAAUUUUGUAUUCUUU